UGAUGACAGAGGCUUCAUUGCGCCUGUUUGCAGAUUAGCAAGAUGCUAAUGCUCUCUGGCUAUCAGAAAUAAAACCACCUGCUGUCCACACAACCCGAAGGGUCUCCAGAACAAACAUACUAACCGUUAUAUACCAGAGCAGCUCAAGACCAGGAGGUGGCGAUAUUGACUGGGACAUUUUGGUGCUUAAUGACUAAUUCCAACAGUCUACAACUUCUGUUUAGUUACAUGGGAGAGAAGUCAUCUGCAGGCAUUGUUGAAGCAGCAUGAAGUGCAGCAGGUCCUGGUCCAGCUGGAAGAGGUUCAAGGUCUGAUGAGACAGAUGACCAGAUGAUGAGCACAGAACUGGAAAAUGUCCUGCAUAUUAUCCCAAAUCACAGCUGCACUGUGGACACGCAACAGUAUUUGACUAACCAGAUCAAGCAGCUCAGAGGG
This is a long non-coding RNA of Carassius carassius (crucian carp), 435 nucleotides long. RefSeq lists it as uncharacterized. The record is from RefSeq and is a predicted model, not a curated record. The transcript has 4 exons. NCBI's taxonomy places the organism in Eukaryota, Metazoa, Chordata, Actinopteri, Cypriniformes, Cyprinidae.